This is a long non-coding RNA of Gasterosteus aculeatus aculeatus (three-spined stickleback), 513 nucleotides long. NCBI's taxonomy places the organism in Eukaryota, Metazoa, Chordata, Actinopteri, Perciformes, Gasterosteidae. The record is from Ensembl.
ACGAGGCCCAUGGUGACUCUGGAGCAGCUAAAGUUCGUCCCGUUUGUUGCUGAGUGGUGCACGUUGGAGAUAAAGAUGUCCGGCAGCGGUGUGUGAGAACCACGCUUGCGGAGUCGCACUAACGAGCAAAGCCGUUCUUCUGCCAACCUAGUCUUCGGAUCAAUGAUUCGUUCAUCUGCCAGAACCACCGACCACAUCAGCUCAUUACCCUCACCUGGUUCUCCUUAUCCUUCUCACCUGCAGCACAUCCCAUUGUCAGCCACUCACAAUUUAAGCCUGUAACAUUCUGUUGUUUCCUGCCAAGUUUUCCAGCGUUUCUGAAUCACCCAGAUAUUCUUUUGUUCUGAACCAGCCUGCCUUUUGACCACGAAUUCCUUGUCUGAUUGCCACCAUGGUUCUGACCCUGCCUGUUUUUAUCUACGGAUUCUCUGCCUGCCACUCACAUUUGUUUGCCUACUGACCGCUGACGGAUCUCCUGGUUUUGACCUUGCCUGAACUUUCAGUAAAAUCCAC